ACGGGGGGAGCAAGCGUUGUUCGGAUUUAUUGGGCGUAAAGGGCUCGUAGGUGGCUCUGUAAGUCGGAGGUGAAAGACCACGGCUCAACCGUGGAAACGCCUUCGAAACUGUGGAGCUUGAGGCUGGGAGAGGAGAUCGGAAUUCCUGGUGUAGCGGUGAAAUGCGUAGAUAUCUGGAGGAACACCGGUGGCGAAGGCGGCAUCCUGGACCAACACUGACACUGAGGAGCGAAAGCCAGGGGAGCAAACGGGA
Molecule: ribosomal RNA, 253 nt
Filed under: uncultured prokaryote
Description: partial 16S ribosomal RNA
Rfam family: Bacterial small subunit ribosomal RNA
Source: RNAcentral